RNAcentral lists this ribosomal RNA (506 nucleotides) under uncultured bacterium. Its description in RNAcentral is "partial 16S ribosomal RNA". The record is from RNAcentral.
GGAGUUAGCCGGUGCUUCUUCUGUGAGUGAUGUCCUUCCUGCCGGUUAUUGACCCGCAGGCCUUCUUCCUCACUGAAAGUGCUUUACAACCCGAAGGCCUUCUUCACACACGCGGCAUGGAUGGAUCAGGGUUGCCCCCAUUGUCCAAUAUUCCCCACUGCUGCCUCCCGUAGGAGUCUGGGCCGUGUCUCAGUCCCAGUGUGGCUGAUCAUCCUCUCAGACCAGCUACGGAUCGUCGCCUUGGUGAGCCGUUACCUCACCAACCAGCUAAUCCGACAUAGGCUCAUCCGAUAGCGCGAGGCCCGAAGGUCCCCCGCUUUCCCCCGUAGGGCGUAUGCGGUAUUAGCCUGGGUUUCCCCAGGUUAUCCCCCACUACCGGGCAGAUUCCUAUGCAUUACUCACCCGUCCGCCGCUCGCCACCAGGGAGCAAGCUCCCCGUGCUGCCGCUCGACUUGCAUGUGUUAGGCCUGCCGCCACGCGUCAUCUGAGCAGAAUACAACUACUGA